This 65-nucleotide transfer RNA is filed under the name Hydroides elegans (calcareous tube worm). RNAcentral's name for it is "tRNA-Gly". The record is from RNAcentral. Lineage: Eukaryota; Metazoa; Annelida; Polychaeta; Sabellida; Serpulidae.
GCUUAAUUGGUGUAAUCAAAGCACUGCCCUCUUCCAAAGGGAUGGAGUCUACUGGACAUUAAGUA